This 214-nucleotide long non-coding RNA is filed under the name Capsicum annuum. Its description in RNAcentral is "long non-coding RNA (CANN_LNC013871)". Lineage: Eukaryota; Viridiplantae; Streptophyta; Magnoliopsida; Solanales; Solanaceae. The record is from RNAcentral.
CACAAGUCAUUUCAUUACGAGAGGGAUUUAACCACAAGCCAUUUCAUUGAGCGAGGGACAUUAACCACAAGCCUUUUCAUUGGGCGAGGAACUUUAACCACAAGCCAUUUUAUUAGGCGAGGGACUUUAACGACCCACCUAGCUCAACCGUACCCUAGGGGAUGAGUGGUACCCUAAAUUAUACCCUAGGCUUUACCUAGGUCCCAUAUACUGG